AACGAACGCUGGCGGCAUGCCUAACACAUGCAAGUCGAACGAUGCCUUCGGGCAUAGUGGCGCACGGGUGCGUAACGCGUGGGAAUCUGCCUUUCGGUUCGGAAUAACUCAGGGAAACUUGAGCUAAUACCGGAUAACGUCGCAAGACCAAAGAUUUAUCACCGAAAGAUGAGCCCGCGUAGGAUUAGCUAGUUGGUGAGGUAAAGGCUCACCAAGGCGACGAUCCUUAGCUGGUCUGAGAGGAUGAUCAGCCACACUGGGACUGAGACACGGCCCAGACUCCUACGGGAGGCAGUAGUGGGGAAUAUUGGACAAUGGGCGAAAGCCUGAUCCAGCAAUGCCGCGUGAGUGAUGAAGGCCUUAGGGUUGUAAAGCUCUUUUACCCGGGAAGAUAAUGACGGUACCGGGAGAAUAAGCCCCGGCUAACUCCGUG
This 433-nucleotide ribosomal RNA is filed under the name uncultured bacterium. RNAcentral's name for it is "partial 16S ribosomal RNA". It matches the Rfam family "Bacterial small subunit ribosomal RNA", at positions 29 to 507 of the family's 1533-position model. The record is from RNAcentral.